This 3234-nucleotide long non-coding RNA is filed under the name Bemisia tabaci. RNAcentral describes it as "lncRNA ENSSWEETPG005986". Lineage: Eukaryota; Metazoa; Arthropoda; Insecta; Hemiptera; Aleyrodidae. The record is from RNAcentral.
AUGGGCCAUUUCAAAUUGAAUUCUUUAAGUCAAUCCUAUUUUGUCAUAUAUUUAACAGAUCCCCUCCCCUUUUUUUUGGUUCCUAGAAUUUUCUGUCUCGAUGAAUAUAAUUUUGUAAUUUUUUUUGGUUCAGCUGUGAAACUAGGAAGACCGAAGAUAACUAAUUCAACAUCGGCUGAAGCAUUCAUAGUCAUGUCGGUCCAAAACUUCUCGAUCGCUGACAGUGUAAGAAGUGCUCCUUGGUCCAUUAGAAUCACGAAAAAUCCAAUUUUCUGAAACUGCACCUGCUAAAUGUGGAUUAUCAUCUUAACCAUGUUUGUUUUUAUAUGUUUUUGAGUGCUCUUUUAUAUUUUCUUUUCAUUUGCAAUCUUCAUGGUGUAAUGUUAACUCAAGUUCGUGGCUGCUCAAGAUGUCGUUUACCCUAAUACAAAGAACAGAAACCUCACGGAACGUUGAGGUAAUCUUGCCACAGAAAUGGCAUGGAGAAGGUCGUAGGAAAGGCUACUACAGAAACCUUCUUCAAAACUUUGAUGCCUCUACGUGUUGGAUUUUCACUCUGAUGAUGUGGCAAUAAGUCGGUAACACAGUUAAAAGGCUCUGAUAUCCUACCAUCAUUUCUGCGGUAAUGUUUUUAUCUCUUGCCUUUGAAUGGCUCUUAUAAGAUUUUCACAAUAUCAUUGCCUUGUGCUGAUGACUACUUUGUGCCAGUAAGCACCACCUUGCGCCUGGAACUUUCUGUGGUAACUUUUCCUAACCGCUCUGGAAUAUUCUUUGUCGACCUUAGAUGCCCAGGCCAUCGGUAAUUUUAAUGUAGUGGUCCUGACCAGAAAUCAUUAACGUGACAGGAAGGUCAUGAUAACUUGGCCAAGGAAAAAACUAUUUCUACCGCAACAUCGAAGGAACGUUUCCAUGGAAAGAAUCAAAGAGCAACCUAGUUGCAGAAAAUUGAACUGCUCAUCUCAUUUGAUAAUAAAGUUGUCCAAAGUUUUUGCCAAUUCUCUUAGAAAACGCUGCUGCGGCUGAUUUACGUUAGCAAAUAUGACAAUGUUUUCCUAAGGGUUGCCUCUGUUUGGGUAAUCAUAGUGACCAAUUUUGGUCUAUAGAGGGAGCAGUAAUGUAGUAGCAAUUUAUGCUGUUUUCUUGCAUUCCUGAGAUAGGCCCUUCCACCUAGUUAAAUUUUGAUGGCCAAGUGCGAAACCCAGCGUAUCUCCAUUGCGGUGUUUGAAAUUCAUUUCUCCUUUUUUUUUUGGAAGAGAAACAAGCUAACUUCAUCGCUUGAAAUUUAUACUGAGUAUUGCUGAUAGAGAAGAAAAAUUGAGGAAGUUUUAAAAGAACUUACGUGACUGGUUUUUCCAAAGAAAAAAUAGAGCAUGACAGAAGUCUACAAUAUUGCAAACGGAAGUCCAUGGUUUCGCACUUCGGCCGGUCGAUUUGGUGGUACGGAAAUGAACUGUAAAAUUUUACAUGUAGGUAAUUUUAACACCCAAGGUCGUCGUGACACACAUUGAAUGCUGCUGCAAUUUUUGUGCUUUUUCCCCCCUUUACAAGCAAUUUUUAAGGGAUUCUGAAGUUUUUUUAUGUUUUCAUUCCCCACUAUUUUGUUUUAGGAAGUGAAGACCUUCAGAAGGCCUAAUAAUUUGUUAUUGAUGGGACCCCAAUCCCAUCACCCCCGCCUUUUUUUGAAUGAUACUGCUCUAAUUUUUCUUAAGAUGGUUGUAAUUUCUGAAAUGUUAGGUGUCCUUGAAAUUUUAUGCUAAUGCUGUAAUUUGAAAACUGGCCAAUUAAACUGUCCAAUUAAUAAAUGGCCGAGAACUUAUUAACAAUGAUCUCUGCCUAUCAAAGUAAUUAACUCCUAAUAAAAUUGCAAAAUUGUCUCUGGUUUAUCGUAAAACUGUUCAGUUUAUCUUGGUCCUUGGAAUCUUUUGGGAACAGUUGCAGCUAUUGACAGACUUGACUCAGGGAAGUUUCGUCAGGAACCUUCAAAAGACAAAUGAGAAAUUGUACAGUUCCCCUCCAAAAAGUAUUCAAUUGCAUGUUUACCCUAUUUCAAAGAUGCUGUUACUCUGACGCUCCUUCUUCAGAUCAUGGUGGCUUGCUUAAAAAUUAAUUAAUUUCUCAAAUAGGAUUGAGAUCAGAUUCCUAAUUGGCUCAGUUUUCAAAUUUAAGCAUGAGUCCACUUAUUUUUGGGACACUUGUAGAAUUGAUGUGCCCUCAAGAAAUUUUAAGUUUCUGAUUGUCAAAAAAUAUUGUUUUACUCCUCUCUGCAACUCUUUACCUGUUGCAGACAUUUUUAUCGUAAAAUUGUUCGACUCUAAGGCUUUUCACUUUUAUCUUAUCAGCUGGGAUUGAACAUUCCCCUCGAUUUUAAUUAAUGCAGUAUUACCUUACUUUAAGCUUGACCCUAUAAAUUUUGGGUCAAUGGGUCGUUGUAAUGUUCAGGAUUUUCAAAAUGCAUAUAGAGCAUAGAGAAAAUACGGAAGGUGGUAGCAAGGCAGCCAUCUAGAAGAUUAGCUGUGACGUAGGAAUGUACACGGACUGGCGCGCUGUUCAAAAAAAAGUACCUACUUUCAUGAUGAUAUGAAUCUGUUUAAAGACCUACAUCACCACUGAAUCUAACAUUGAACGUCAUAUAUUUGAACAUUAGUUACCAUGACCCUCCAAUUUUUGCUUUUAUGACGUCCAGAACGUAAUCUAACAUGGUUAUACCUCAAAACGGGACGAGUCAAGAUAAAAGUUGAUAUUAAGUAUAUGAAAUAUACAUUUUUAACUCACAAUUAUUUUCAGUUACAGUCAAACAUUGGUAGAAAAACAUAUUGAACAUAAAAGUCAAUAGUUACGAGUUUUUUAGAGCCAAAAUAAGUGGGAACCUCACAACCUUUCCUGCUUCCUUUUAAAUUUCAAAAAGGGCUCAGUCUUCCCGUGAUACCAUUAACCAAUUAGAAAGGGGGCUUCAUUUUAGCUGUGAUGUAAAAAAGUACAUUUCUCUGCUUGCCGACACUCUCUGUGUUUUCUCUAUGAUAUAAGUGUGGUUAAAAGUGGUUUUGAAAAUGUGCUUUCGCACGAGCAUGUGAGAAUUAUUUUCGUCUAUUCUGACCAACCUGCAGAUUAAGUUAAUAUGAUUCAAUACAAUGAAUGUAAGGAAGUUUCUGGUCAUGGAAUUCUGGACUCCUGAACCUUUUUUAUGGUAGAUGAAUUUUCGCUUAUGAGGCACGUAUGCUAACAUUAAUUUUUGAA